RNAcentral lists this ribosomal RNA (458 nucleotides) under uncultured bacterium. RNAcentral describes it as "partial 16S ribosomal RNA". It matches the Rfam family "Bacterial small subunit ribosomal RNA", at positions 338 to 795 of the family's 1533-position model. The record is from RNAcentral.
CCUACGGGAGGCAGCAGUGAGGAAUAUUGGUCAAUGAGCGAGAGCCUGAACCAGCCAAGUCGCGUGAGGGAGUACUGCCCUAUGGGUUGUAAACCUCUUUUGUCGGGGAGCAAAAGCCGGACGUGUCCGGCUGUGAGAGUACCCGAAGAAAAAGCAUCGGCUAACUCCGUGCCAGCAGCCGCGGUAAUACGGAGGAUGCGAGCGUUAUCCGGAUUUAUUGGGGUUAAAGGGUGCGCAGGCGGAUUUUUAAGUCAGCGGUCAAAUCGUGGGGCUCAACCCCAUCCAGCCGUUGAAACUGGGGAUCUAGAGUGUGCGAGAGGUAUGCGGAAUGCGUGGUGUAGCGGUGAAAUGCAUAGAUAUCACGCAGAACCCCGAUUGCGAAGGCAGCAUACCGGUGCACAACUGACGCUCAGGCACGAAAGCGUGGGUAUCGAACAGGAUUAGAUACCCUUGUAGUC